Molecule: ribosomal RNA, 351 nt
Filed under: uncultured bacterium
Lineage: Bacteria
Description: bacterial SSU rRNA
Rfam family: Bacterial small subunit ribosomal RNA
Source: RNAcentral
GGGCCCGCACAAGCGGUGGAGCAUGCGGUUUAAUUCGAUGAUACGCGAGGAACCUUACCAGGGCUUAAAUGUAAGUUGCAUUAGCUAGAGAUAGCUAUUUCUUCGGACCACUUACAAGGUGCUGCAUGGUUGUCGUCAGCUCGUGCCGUGAGGUGUCAGGUUAAGUCCUAUAACGAGCGCAACCCCUGUUGUUAGUUGCCAGCGAGUCAUGUCGGGAACUCUAACAAGACUGCCGGUGCAAACCGUGAGGAAGGUGGGGAUGACGUCAAAUCAUCACGGCCCUUACGUCCUGGCUACACACGUGCUACAAUGGUCGGUACAGAGAGCAGCCACUGCGCGAGGGGGAGCGGA